UUUUCCACAUUAGAUCCAUUUACCUCAAUUAUACUAUUGAUUUUGCUUUUAUCAUCUUCCAUUUUGACUUCCAGUAACUGCUGCAUGUUUGAAAAUAUUACUUCCUCUCUGCAUUUUUCCUCCUUUUUGCCAUUAUUAUAUAGCCUUUGAUGGCAUAGACGUCUCCUUGUUGCAUGAACUCGAUUUCCCUUGACAAAAUUGUACUAUAAUGUUAGAAGUGAAGACUGCAAAAUUGAACUUAGUAAUAUUGUAAAAAGAAAAGUAUGUACAAAUACAAUAAUCACCUCUGUCUCUUUCGUGUGAAAUAGCUUUGCUUCUAUUGCUAAACUUGAGGAAUAUCAUAGCUUUGAAUAUGUAUCAUCUGCAAUGCAGUCUUGUUUCUAUCAGGCUCCAAAACAUUUAUCAAAUCGAACAAUGGUGUCAUUUUGGAUAAAUGGAGAUGAUGUGCUGAUUCGAGCAAAAACCAAACAAUGAUGCCGUUUUCGAUUUAUGGAGAUAUGUAUGUGCUAAAUCUCUAGGAAAGAGCAAAACUA
RNAcentral lists this long non-coding RNA (533 nucleotides) under Salvia miltiorrhiza (redroot sage). Its description in RNAcentral is "long non-coding RNA (SMIL_LNC012404)". The record is from RNAcentral. Lineage: Eukaryota; Viridiplantae; Streptophyta; Magnoliopsida; Lamiales; Lamiaceae.